AAGGUUACACUGUCUCCUUUUUCUAAUCAGUAAAACUAAUCUUCCCGUGAAGAAGCGGGGAUCCUUAUAUAAGACGAGAAGACCCUAUGGAGCUUUAAACGAAAUAACAUCUACCAACUCAACCAACAAUUUCAGAAAAUUAACACUAAACUUGGUAUAAUGAUUACUAGUUUUAGGUUGGGGUGACCGCGGAGCAAAAAACAACCUCCGCAUUGAAUGGACCUACACUCCUAAACAAAAAACCACAACUUUAUGUAUCAACAUAUUGACAUCCAUUGACCCAUUAAUUUGAUCAACGAACCAAGUUACCCUAGGGAUAACAGCGCAGUCCAUUUCAAGAGCCCCUAUCGACAAAUGG
This 358-nucleotide ribosomal RNA is filed under the name Odontophrynus sp. t MP-2021. RNAcentral's name for it is "partial large subunit ribosomal RNA". It matches the Rfam family "Bacterial large subunit ribosomal RNA", at positions 2007 to 2515 of the family's 2925-position model. Lineage: Eukaryota; Metazoa; Chordata; Amphibia; Anura; Alsodidae. The record is from RNAcentral.